GAGUGUGAGGAGUGUGUGAGGAGUGUGUGAAGAGUGUGUGAGGAGUGUGUGAGGAGUGUGUGAGGAGUGUGAAGAGAGUGUGAGGAGUGUGUGAGGAGUGUGAAGUGUAUGAGGACUGUAGCUGAUGUUUUAGCGAGGCUCAGUCACUGGGAUUUAGUUUCGGUCAUGUGCUGGGAUUGAAUUGUUACCGGCGCUGCACGUGAAUAUGAGAUUAUAUAGAAUUACAUGUCGGGUGUGUUUCAGGUGUAAUAAAGCCGUGUCUUUAUGUCCUGUCUGAAUGAUCAUUUUCAUAUUCACAUGAAUAUUAAGGACCAUUUUAUGUUUUAUAGCACGUCUACGCCAUUUUCUCCCCCUAGUUGUUGUAUUGGGAUGGAGUGUAAUUUGUAGGAUUAUUAUUGUAUAUUACUUAUACCCAAGGGCAUGUUGAAUACCACAGACUUCUGCCAGUUGGGUGCAGAUAUAAUUGAGCAAUUCAUCUUUCCAGAGAUAAUGUUCU
Long non-coding RNA from Ictalurus punctatus (channel catfish), 496 nucleotides. Lineage: Eukaryota; Metazoa; Chordata; Actinopteri; Siluriformes; Ictaluridae. The record is from Ensembl.